UUAUGGCUCAGAACGAACGCUGGUAGCGUGGAUUAGGCAUGCAAGUCGGACGGGAUCCGGAAGGUAGCAAUAUCGGCCGGUGAGAGUGGCGGACUGGGGAGGAACACGUGAGCAACUUGCCCGCAGGACGGGGAAAACCGUUGGAAACGACGGCUAAUACCGGAUGCGGCGCCAUUGGGACAUCCCGAUGGCGCCAAAGGGGGCCGAAAGGCUCCCGCCCGCGGAGAGGCUCGCGCACCAUCAGCUAGUUGGCGGGGUAACGGCCCACCAAGGCCUACGGUUAGCUGGUCUGAGAGGAUGACCAGCCCCACUGGGACUGAGACACUGCCCAGACUCCUACGGGAGGCUGCAGUCGAGGAUCAUUUGCAAUGGGCGAAAGCCUGACAAUGCGACGCCUGCGUGGAGGAUGAAGGCCUUCGGGUUGUAAACUCCUGUCAUGGGGGAACAGGCGAGGGGACCCAACACGUCCCUUAGUUGAGUGUACCCCAAGAGGAAGGGACGGCUAACUCUGUGCCAGCCGCGGC
RNAcentral lists this ribosomal RNA (524 nucleotides) under uncultured bacterium. RNAcentral describes it as "bacterial SSU rRNA". It matches the Rfam family "Bacterial small subunit ribosomal RNA", at positions 17 to 518 of the family's 1533-position model. The record is from RNAcentral.